ACUCGAGUGGCGAACGGGUGAGUAACACGUGGGUGAUCUGCCCUGCACUUCGGGAUAAGCUUGGGAAACUGGGUCUAAUACCGGAUAGGAGCCAUCUUUAGUGUGGUGGUUGGAAAGUUUUUUCGGUGUAGGAUGAGCUCGCGGCCUAUCAGCUUGUUGGUGGGGUAAUGGCCUACCAAGGCGGCGACGGGUAGCCGGCCUGAGAGGGUGGACGGUCACACUGGGACUGAGACACGGCCCAG
RNAcentral lists this ribosomal RNA (242 nucleotides) under uncultured Actinomycetales bacterium. RNAcentral's name for it is "partial 16S ribosomal RNA". It matches the Rfam family "Bacterial small subunit ribosomal RNA", at positions 89 to 334 of the family's 1533-position model. The record is from RNAcentral. Lineage: Bacteria; Bacillati; Actinomycetota; Actinomycetes; Actinomycetales.